This 77-nucleotide microRNA precursor is filed under the name Myotis lucifugus (little brown bat). RNAcentral's name for it is "mir-9193 microRNA precursor family". It matches the Rfam family "mir-9193 microRNA precursor family". The record is from Rfam by way of RNAcentral. Lineage: Eukaryota; Metazoa; Chordata; Mammalia; Chiroptera; Vespertilionidae.
CUCGGGGAUGGGGAGGGGUUCCUCAGCCUGGAUUGCAAGAAGGCGCAGGUCAGGCUGAGGGACCCCACCGGUGCAUG